CCUACGGGGUGCAGCAGUGAGGAAUAUUGGUCAAUGGCCGGAAGGCUGAACCAGCCAUGCCGCGUGAAGGUCAGUGCCCUAUGGGCGUUAAACUUCUUUUGUGCGGGAGCAAUAAUGGUCACGUGUGGCCAGACGAGAGUACCGUACGAAUAAGCAUCGGCUAACUCCGUGCCAGCAGCCGCGGUAAUACGGGGGAUGCAAGCGUUAUCCGGAUUUAUUGGGUUUAAAGGGUGCGUAGGCUGUGAGGUAAGUCAGCGGUGAAAUGCCCCCGCUCAACGGGGUGAAGUGCCAUUGAUACUGCCAUGCUGGAAUGCGGAUGCGGUGAGAGGAAUGUGUGGUGUAGCGGUGAAAUGCAUAGAUAUCACACAGAACACCGAUUGCGAAGGCAUCUCACGAAUCCGCGAUUGACGCUGAUGCACGAAGGCGUGGGUAUCAAACAGGAUUAGAUACCCGGGUAGUC
RNAcentral lists this ribosomal RNA (460 nucleotides) under uncultured bacterium. RNAcentral describes it as "partial 16S ribosomal RNA". It matches the Rfam family "Bacterial small subunit ribosomal RNA", at positions 338 to 795 of the family's 1533-position model. The record is from RNAcentral.